GCAUACUCUAAGCCCAAUCACCAACACAACAUCACACAUUAACACAACCUAAAACAUUGCACAAGACUAGUAGAUGAGAUCGAACCUCAAAUACUGACGCCAUAGAGAUAGUACUGCAAAGGAAAAGAUACCGAACACUAACAAAGCACAAAACAGCAGAGACAAACACACGUACCUCUUGCAUCACCGUCUAGCAAGAACAAAACAGACAAGACGAACCCAAGCCUGUCCCCCCGAAUGCAAGUGAGCUAUUCCCAAGCAGUUUCAAAGAACGAACUCGUUUCUGUAGCAAAAGAAUGAGAUGACUUGAGAAUAGAGGCGAUAAACCUAACGAACUUGCCGAUAGCUGGUUGCCUGACAAAACGAAUUUCAGUUCGACCUUGGGCCAUAAACCAUACACAACUAAUGACCACAUUACGCCCAAGAGAUAGUCAACUGGGGAUCAGCCCAAUUGACACGGUACACAAUCCAAAAUAGAGAAAAAGCAAAACAUCAAACACCAGUAGGCCUCAAAGCAGCCACCAUCCAUAUACCGUCAUAGGAACCAUUAAAAAAAAUACCAUAAACCAAAGCGACUUCCUACCUUCACCCCAGGCCACUCUAUGUUAACAUAGAAGAAAUGAUGCUAGAACUAGUAAUAAGAAACCAUCUCUAGAACAAAACUUCAAUAAAUAUCCAUCAGACCAAAAAAGGCCGCACAACACACAUUUCCCCACAAUGCACCACACUGUAAACCCAACACAGGAUUGUUCAAAAGAAAGACCUAAAGCCUAAAAAGGAACUCGGCAAACCCUAUCCUUUCCAACUGUUUAACAAAAACAUAGCCAUUAGCCAUUCAAGUAUUAAAGGUAAUGCCUGCCCAGUGAGAACCCUUAAACGGCCGCGACAUUCGUGCAAAGGUAGCGCAAUCACUUGUCCUUUAAAUGGGGACCCGUAUGAACGGCCACAUGAGAAAGAGACUGUCUCUUUAGGCCAGUCGAUGAAACUGAUCCCCCUGUACAAAAGCAGGAAUAACAAAGCAAGACAAAAAGACCCUGUGAAACUUAAAAUUAACUGUCAACCCACUGACAAGAACUUUUAGUUGGGGCAACUAAAGAGAAACAAAACCUCAUACCACACUACCAAGACCAACAAAUCCAGGUAAACAACUACACCGACCCAGCACCGCUGAUCAAAGAACCAAGCUACUCCAGGGAUAACAGCGCCACAUUCUUGAAGAGUCCACAUCAACAAGAAUACCUACGACCUCGAUGUUGGAUCAGGAUAACCUGAUGGUGCAGAAGCUAUCAAGGGUUCGUUUGUUCAACGAUUAAUAAUCCUACGCGAUCUGAGUUCAGACCGGAGCAAUCCAGGUCGGUCUUUAUCUGCUCUACGCUACAGCUAGUACGAAAGGAUCACUGUAGCAGGGCCCAUCUUUUCUAGACGCCCUAAUCAAAACUAUGCUGCACAAAAAUCAAACAUAAACACUAACACAACCACUACAAGAAAAGUAGUCAAACCACA
Molecule: ribosomal RNA, 1503 nt
Filed under: Physignathus cocincinus
Lineage: Eukaryota; Metazoa; Chordata; Lepidosauria; Squamata; Agamidae
Description: 16S ribosomal RNA
Rfam family: Bacterial large subunit ribosomal RNA
Source: RNAcentral